UAAGAUGGGCCCUAGAAAGCCUCGUAAGCACAAAAGCUUGGUCCUGACUUUACUGUCAGCUUUGGUUAUAUUUAUACAUGCAAGUAUCAGCACCCCUGUGAGAAUGCCCUACAUAUUCCCCACCCCGGGAAAAAGGAGCAGGCAUAAGGCACAACCCGGAGUUAGCCCAUAACGCCUUGCUUAGCCACACCCCCAAGGGAACUCAGCAGUAAUAAACAUUAAGCAAUAAGUGAAAACUUGACUUAGUUAAAACCAAGAGGGCCGGUAAAACUCGUGCCAGCCACCGCGGUUAUACGAGAGGCCCAAGUUGACAAAUACCGGCGUAAAAUGUGGUUAACAUGACAAUGCACUAAAGCUAAACAUCUUCAGAGCUGUUAUACCCACAUGAAGACAGGAAGUACUUCUACGAAAGUGGCUUUAAACAAUGCUAUCCACGAAAGCUAGGAAACAAACUGGGAUUAGAUACCCCACUAUGCCUAGCCUUAAACACAAGCGAUGCCUUUACACCUUUCGCUUGCCAGGGAACUACGAGCCCCAGCUUAAAACCCAAAGGACUUGGCGGUGCUUUAGACCCCCCUAGAGGAGCCUGUUCUAGAACCGAUAACCCCCGUUAAACCUCACCUUCUCUUGUUCAUCCCGCCUAUAUACCGCCGUCGUCAGCUUACCCUGUGAAGGAUUAACCGUGAGCUUAAUUGGUACAACCUAAAACGUCAGGUCGAGGUGUAGCGUACGAGAGGGGAAGAAAUGGGCUACAUUCACUGAACCAGUGCAUACGAACAAUGCUUUGAAACCAAGCGUUCGAAGGAGGAUUUAGCAGUAAGGGGAGAAUAGCGUGCUUCCCUGAAAUUGGCCCUGAAGCGCGCACACACCGCCCGUCACUCUCCCCAAAGAUAGACUAGCAUUAAAUAAAAAUCAACUUUAAAAAAGGGGAGGCAAGUCGUAACAUGGUAAGUGUACCGGAAGGUGCACUUGGAAAAAU
Molecule: non-coding RNA, 979 nt
Filed under: Gymnogobius macrognathos
Lineage: Eukaryota; Metazoa; Chordata; Actinopteri; Gobiiformes; Gobiidae
Description: partial 12S rRNA
Rfam family: Bacterial small subunit ribosomal RNA
Source: RNAcentral